CAAAAGAAUUGACGGGGGCCCGCACAAGCGGUGGAGCAUGUGGUUUAAUUCGAUGCUACGCGAAGAACCUUACCUGGGUUUGACAUGCUGGUAGUAGUGAACCGAAAGGGGAACGAUCCGCAGCAAUGCGGAGGCCAGCACAGGUGCUGCAUGGCUGUCGUCAGUUCGUGUCGUGAGAUGUUGGGUUAAGUCCCACAACGAACGCAACCCCUAUUGCCAGUUGAUAACGUCAAGUCGAUCACUCUGGCGAAACUGCCUGCGAUAAGUAGGAGGAAGGUGGGGAUGAGGUCAAGUCAUCAUGGCCUUUAUGCCCAGGGCGACACACGUGCUACAAUGCGGCGUACAAAGGGAUGCAAAUCCGCAAGGAAGAGCAAAUCUCAAAAAGCGCCGCUCAGUUCGGAUUGAAGGCUGCAAUUCGCCUUCAUGAAGCUGGAAUCGCUAGUAACCGCAGAUCAGCGUGCUGCGGUGAAUACGUUCUCGGGCCUUGUACACACCGCCCGUCACACCAUGGAAGCCAGAAACACCCAAAGU
This 531-nucleotide ribosomal RNA is filed under the name uncultured bacterium. RNAcentral describes it as "bacterial SSU rRNA". It matches the Rfam family "Bacterial small subunit ribosomal RNA", at positions 902 to 1427 of the family's 1533-position model. The record is from RNAcentral.